GGAGGAAGAAUCAUAUAUUAGAUAAAAUUGUUGGAUUACAAUAGUGGAUAUUACACAAGGAAAAUCAUCCAAAUGGAUAUAUAAUCUAAAUAUUUUCUUGACAACAAAAUUUAAAUUGAAAGCAUCCACAACAUCCCUACAACUUAACUAAAACACAAUCGACAAACAUCGUCCAACAGGAACAUCAUCCCUACAACUUAAUUAAAAUGGAAACCAUUCGUCUUCAUCAUCAUGAACAGGAACAUCAUCAUCAUCAUCAUUGUACUAUACUUGCCACACACACCCAUAGAAUUAUCCAUUUAUCUUUUGAAUCUACAAACAAAAAAAACAGAAUGAACUGUUAACACACAAUGCAUUGACAUGAUCCAAGUACUGAUAGAGGCAGGAUAUUAGUCACUUACAAAGGUUGACAUGCAAAAACAAAUCUGCAUUACCAAGAGUUGCAGUUUUUGGGAUCUGUACCUAAUCUUCAGUUUUCACAAGUGUCAUAUCGACAUGCACUACCCAGAAUUCAUUAGUAAUUUCAGCACCAUCAAGUUCAAAUUUAGGAUCACAACUUACAACUGUAGCAAGAGCUAUGUUUCUGUUAUGAUUUUUUAGGCUCAUUAAAAAUACUUAUGUUCCUUCCUGUUAGAGAAAAUCAAAGUUACCAUUGGCAGAAUCAUGUCAAGCAAAAUAAUUAAUAGAAACGUGACAUAUAACAGAAAAGGUUGAGAGGCCAAGACAUGUCGUGGUUGCAUCUUUUCCUCUACUAUAUGUUAGUCUCAUGAUGUGCAACGUCUAUGAAAUUUUAUGAAGCCUUUCACUACAAACAAAGUAGUUUUGGUGAUGAACGCUUAAAAUAAUUAAACUUCAUAUGAUACCUUCAG
RNAcentral lists this long non-coding RNA (869 nucleotides) under Triticum aestivum (bread wheat). Its description in RNAcentral is "long non-coding RNA (TAES_LNC012819)". Lineage: Eukaryota; Viridiplantae; Streptophyta; Magnoliopsida; Poales; Poaceae. The record is from RNAcentral.